RNAcentral lists this small nucleolar RNA (106 nucleotides) under Gossypium hirsutum (cotton). RNAcentral describes it as "Plant small nucleolar RNA R71". It matches the Rfam family "Plant small nucleolar RNA R71". From Rfam's summary of the family: R71 is a member of the C/D box family of snoRNAs containing the C (UGAUGA) and D (CUGA) box motifs. Multiple nearly identical copies of this snoRNA have been identified in Arabidopsis, and it is thought to function as a 2'-O-ribose methylation guide for 18S ribosomal RNA. RNAcentral also lists the same sequence under 1 other name. Lineage: Eukaryota; Viridiplantae; Streptophyta; Magnoliopsida; Malvales; Malvaceae. The record is from Rfam by way of RNAcentral.
AACCCAUGGUAAGGGCACCAUCUAAACAGAUCCUUGUAUCUCUCUCAUGCAUCGUAGAGUGUUUCUAAAUCCAUCUACACAAAAGAGGAGAUAUCAUUAUGUAAUU